UACAUAUGACUGUUUAUAACACU
This 23-nucleotide microRNA is filed under the name Bombyx mori (domestic silkworm). RNAcentral's name for it is "bmo-miR-3225". The record is from miRBase by way of RNAcentral. Lineage: Eukaryota; Metazoa; Arthropoda; Insecta; Lepidoptera; Bombycidae.